RNAcentral lists this ribosomal RNA (331 nucleotides) under uncultured eukaryote. RNAcentral describes it as "partial 18S ribosomal RNA". It matches the Rfam family "Eukaryotic small subunit ribosomal RNA", at positions 1470 to 1796 of the family's 1831-position model. The record is from RNAcentral.
CCCUUAGACGUUCUGGGCCGCACGCGCGCUACACUGACCAGUGCAACAAGCAUCCGUCCUUGGCCGACAGGCUCGGGCAAUCUUUGAACGCUGGUCGUGAUGGGGAUAGACUUUUGCAAUUUUUGGUCUUCAACGAGGAAUUCCUAGUAAACGCAAGUCAUCAACUUGCAUUGAUUACGUCCCUGCCCUUUGUACACACCGCCCGUCGCACCUACCGAUUGAAUGGUCCGGUGAAAUCUUUGGACUAUGGCUUUGUCUUUGUCUUCGGGCGAAGCGCUGCCGUGGGAAGUUGAUUAAACCUUNCNAUUUAGNGGAAGGUGAANUCGUANCA